CAAGAUUUAGUUUAUAGAAAAUAUCUUAUUUACAUUAAGAUGAUUUAAAUGCAAAUUUUAAUUCUUGA
RNAcentral lists this transfer RNA (68 nucleotides) under Ramulus mikado. Its description in RNAcentral is "tRNA-Val". RNAcentral also lists the same sequence under 2 other names. The record is from RNAcentral. Lineage: Eukaryota; Metazoa; Arthropoda; Insecta; Phasmatodea; Phasmatidae.